This is a long non-coding RNA of Micropterus dolomieu (smallmouth bass), 448 nucleotides long. RefSeq lists it as uncharacterized. The transcript has 2 exons. Lineage: Eukaryota; Metazoa; Chordata; Actinopteri; Centrarchiformes; Centrarchidae. The record is from RefSeq and is a predicted model, not a curated record.
CCAUCCUCCACAACAUCUGCCUUGGGGCUGGUGACAUUGUGGCCCCAGAGGAUGAGCCUGAGGAGGAUGUGGCAGAGGAUGAGGGAACAGUUUGGAGACGGUCAAUGGUGCUCCCCGGCGUGACCAGCUGUCUGCAGAGGUGUCUGCCCUGGAGGAGGUGCUCCCUGACCACCAAUAUUUUUAACAGGCAAGUAAAAGUGACAUGGCAGCUGUCGAUUGAACCAGCUCUGCAAACCCAUUGAUGGACGAUGAGGUGGACAGUGGAGAGAUGCAUCCACACCUGCAACACACUCUGGAGACCACCCCAGAUGAUGUCCUGCUGACCAGGGUCUUUUUUGUGGCAGCCCAUCCAGGUCCAGCAGCAUCACCAGGGUCUAAAUGUUGUAAAUAUGUUGUAAAUACUAAUAGCUAUAAAGACCACAGAAAAUAAAAUCAUUUAUUUAACAAA